UGCCAGGCUGUGCCCACUGCUGUGGAUGGUGGGAAACAGCCACCACGAGCUCCAGCAGCUGCUGUGGCAGACCCUGCUGCUCAUUACUUGGAAAUAUUGCAGUUCUACCCAAGUAGAUGGGCAUUCCUAUCCAGAACCAAGGCAAAUACUGUGGCCUUAGAAAAUCUGUCUUCUAAAAUCAGCUGCAUUUCCAAGAAGAAUUGCAUUUUCAACUGUCUUUAUUCUUUAGAGCCAGAAAUUAAUCAAACUGUGAGACUCUAGCAUUGUGCAUCACAAGGACUCUUCUAAACCAAUUGCUGCAGUUUUGAGAUGAG
Taeniopygia guttata (zebra finch) is the source of this 314-nucleotide non-coding RNA. NCBI's taxonomy places the organism in Eukaryota, Metazoa, Chordata, Aves, Passeriformes, Estrildidae. The record is from RefSeq and is a predicted model, not a curated record.